GGUGCGGUAGUUCAGUCGGUUAGAAUACCGGCCUGUCACGCCGGGGGGCGCGGGUUCGAGUCCCGUCCGCACCGCCA
RNAcentral lists this transfer RNA (77 nucleotides) under Yersinia enterocolitica. RNAcentral describes it as "tRNA-Asp(gtc)". It matches the Rfam family "tRNA". From Rfam's summary of the family: Transfer RNA (tRNA) molecules are approximately 80 nucleotides in length. Their secondary structure includes four short double-helical elements and three loops (D, anti-codon, and T loops). The record is from RNAcentral. Lineage: Bacteria; Pseudomonadati; Pseudomonadota; Gammaproteobacteria; Enterobacterales; Yersiniaceae. RNAcentral also lists the same sequence under 11 other names.